Molecule: ribosomal RNA, 881 nt
Filed under: uncultured bacterium
Lineage: Bacteria
Description: bacterial SSU rRNA
Rfam family: Bacterial small subunit ribosomal RNA
Source: RNAcentral
CAGUCGAACGAGUUCUCGUUGAUGAUCGGUGCUUGCACCGAGAUUCAACAUGGAACGAGUGGCGGACGGGUGAGUAACACGUGGGUAACCUGCCCUUAAGUGGGGGAUAACAUUUGGAAACAGAUGCUAAUACCGCAUAGAUCCAAGAACCGCAUGGUUCUUGGCUGAAAGAUGGCGUAAGCUAUCGCUUUUGGAUGGACCCGCGGCGUAUUAGCUAGUUGGUGAGGUAAUGGCUCACCAAGGCGAUGAUACGUAGCCGAACUGAGAGGUUGAUCGGCCACAUUGGGACUGAGACACGGCCCAAACUCCUACGGGAGGCAGCAGUAGGGAAUCUUCCACAAUGGACGCAAGUCUGAUGGAGCAACGCCGCGUGAGUGAAGAAGGCUUUCGGGUCGUAAAACUCUGUUGUUGGAGAAGAAUGGUCGGCAGAGUAACUGUUGUCGGCGUGACGGUAUCCAACCAGAAAGCCACGGCUAACUACGUGCCAGCAGCCGCGGUAAUACGUAGGUGGCAAGCGUUAUCCGGAUUUAUUGGGCGUAAAGCGAGCGCAGGCGGUUUUCUAAGUCUGAUGUGAAAGCCCUCGGCUUAACCGAGGAAGCGCAUCGGAAACUGGGAAACUUGAGUGCAGAAGAGGACAGUGGAACUCCAUGUGUAGCGGUGAAAUGCGUAGAUAUAUGGAAGAACACCAGUGGCGAAGGCGGCUGUCUGGUCUGUAACUGACGCUGAGGCUCGAAAGCAUGGGUAGCGAACAGGAUUAGAUACCCUGGUAGUCCAUGCCGUAAACGAUGAAUGCUAGGUGUUGGAGGGUUUCCGCCCUUCAGUGCCGCAGCUAACGCAUUAAGCAUUCCGCCUGGGGAGUACGACCGCAAGGUUGAAACUCA